UCCUGUCGAUGAGCGUCCUGGUGAUGUCCUCGAUGUUGGUUAAGGCUGCUUCAUUGCCGUGGGCGUGAAUCGGGGCGCCCAGGAUAGAGACUCUUGAGGGGUGUGGGGCGGGCGACACUGAGGAAUGUGUGUGUGUGUGCUUACGUACUAAAAUGCUUUUGUCGUUCUCAGGUUCGAGGGAAGAACAAAGGCGUGGAUCAGCUCGGUGCUGAGUCUGAAAUCACCGCCACCACGCUGGGAGAACCUGGGAAAGUGACCAGUCUGCGAAUGGAAGAGGCACACGGGACUGCCCUGCUGGUGACUUGGGAUUACCCCCAGGACAGCCCCCAACAAGGGGAGCUUGAGUCCUUCAUAGUGUCCUGGGGAGUACAAGGAGAGGCCACAGGACUGAAACAACAAACAGUGGGACUACAGAAGAGAUUUCGUAUAUUGAACCUUCAACCCAACACUUCAUACACCAUCAAGGUUCGAGGGAAGAACAUAGGCGUGGAUGAACUCGGUGCUGAGUCUGAAAUCAUCGCCACCACCACGCUGGGAGAGCCUGGGAAUGUGACAAAUUUGCGAACGGAAGAGGCAAACGGGACUUCCCUGCUGGUGGCGUGGGACUACCUCCAGAACAGCCCCCUUAAUGGACAGCUUGAGUCCUUCAUAGUGUCCUGGGAUGUACAAGGAGAGGCCACAGGACGGAAACAGCAAACAGUGGGACUACACAGGAGAUUUCUUAUAAACCACCUUCAACCCAACACUACAUACACCAUCAAGAUUCGAGGAAAGACCGAAGACGUGUAUCAGCUCGGUGCUGAGUCUGAAAUCAUCGCCACCACGCUGGGAGAACCUGGGAAAGUGACCAGUCUGCGAAUGGAAGAGGCACACGGGACUGCCCUGCUGGUGACUUGUGAUUACCACCAGGACAGCCCCAACAAGGGGAGCUUGAGUCCUUCAAAGUGUCAUGGGAAGUACAAGGAGAGGCCACAGGACUGAAACAGCAAACAGUGGGACUACAGAAGAGAUUUCUUAUAAUGAACCUUCAACCCAACACUUCAUACACCAUCAAGGUUCGAGGGAAGAACAAAUUCGUGGAUCAGCUCGGUGCCGAGUCUGAAAUCAUCGCCACCACCACACUGGGAGAGCCUGGGAAUGUGACUAUUUUGCGAACGGAGGAGGCAAACGGGACUUCUUUGCUGGUGACUUGGGAUUACCACCAGGACAGCCCCCUUAACCUUAAUGGAGAGCUUGAGUCCUUCAUAGUGUCCUGGGGAGUGCAAGGAGAGGCCACAGGACGGAAACAGCAAACAGUGGGACUACACAGGAGAUUUCUUAUAAACCACCUUCAACCCAACACUUCAUACAUUAUCAAGGUUCAAGGGAAGAACAAAGGCGUGGAUCAGCUCGGUGCUGAGUCGGAAAUCAUCGCCACCACGCUGGGAGAACCUGGGAAAGUGACAAAUCUGCGAACGGAGGAGGCAAACGGGACUUCCUUGCUGGUGACUUGGGAUAACCCCCAGGACAGCCCCUCUAAAGAAGAGCUUGAGUCCUUCAAAGUGUCCUGGGUAGUACAAGGAGAGGCCACAGGACGGGAAGAGCAAACAGUAGGACUACAGAAGAGAUUUCUCAUAAACCACCUUCAACCCAACACUUCAUACACCAUCAAGGUUAGUGUGUAUUUACCUAUAUAGUUGUAUUUACCUAGUCGUGGU
Molecule: RNA transcript, 1697 nt
Organism: Eriocheir sinensis (Chinese mitten crab)
Lineage: Eukaryota; Metazoa; Arthropoda; Malacostraca; Decapoda; Varunidae
Gene name: phosphatidylinositol phosphatase PTPRQ-like
Exons: 10
Source: RefSeq, a predicted model, not a curated record